This 444-nucleotide ribosomal RNA is filed under the name uncultured bacterium. RNAcentral's name for it is "bacterial SSU rRNA". It matches the Rfam family "Bacterial small subunit ribosomal RNA", at positions 331 to 792 of the family's 1533-position model. The record is from RNAcentral.
CCAGACUCCUACGGGAGGCAGCAGUGGGGGAUAUUGCACAAUGGGGGAAACCCUGAUGCAGCGACGCCGCGUGAAGGAAGAAGUAUUUCGGUAUGUAAACUUCUAUCAGCAGGGAAGAGAAUGACGGUACCUGACUAAGAAGCCCCGGCUAACUACGUGCCAGCAGCCGCGGUAAUACGUAGGGGGCAAGCGUUAUCCGGAUUUACUGGGUGUAAAGGGAGCGUAGGCGGCGAUGCAAGUCAGGAGUGAAAGCCCGGGGCUCAACUCCGGGACUGCUUUUGGAACUGUGCUGCUAGAGUGUCGGAGAGGCAGGCGGAAUUCCUAGUGUAGCGGUGAAAUGCGUAGAUAUCAGGAGGAACACCGGCGGCGAAGGCGGCCUGCUGGACCGUGACUGACGUUGAGGCUCGAGAGCGUGGGGAGCAAACAGGAUUAGAUCCCCUCGUA